This 1677-nucleotide long non-coding RNA is filed under the name Homo sapiens (human). RNAcentral's name for it is "HSALNT0317452". Lineage: Eukaryota; Metazoa; Chordata; Mammalia; Primates; Hominidae. The record is from RNAcentral.
CCGGGCUGCUCGCCCCGCCCCCGCGCGGCGCUGGGAGGCGGGAGCUGUCUCUGAGAACCUGCGGGAGAGCGCCCGGGCUUGCUGCUUCCCGGACCCGCGCGUCUCUCGAGCACCCUCGUCCCACCACCUUGUGAGGCCGUAGUGUUAUUUUUAUUUUUUAGAUCAGCAGACUGAGACUCGAGGUGACGUCACUCCGCAGAGAGGUUAGCUGACUUGAAGAAAACGGGUAUCUCCUCUUUCCAUUUCGCCCGUGUAAACAGCCGAACUGCCUAUUAUAAAAGCAUGGACUGCCAGCAUUGGAGUGGUCCUUAGAGGCCUAUUAUGAAAUCAUAGAAUGUCUGCAUUGGAAUCGCCUCACCUCCUUUUACCGCUGGAGAAGCCGACGGACAGACGGGCAGCGACCCCCGCCGUCGCACAACCCGUCUAGGCAGAGAGCGCAGGAGACGGGAGGGCGGCAGGGACACAUCUCCCAGCCAAGGACCUCCUGGGCCCGCAGAGGCCGCGACAGGUUCCCCCCACAGAGGGAACCAACUCUGCCGCAGGUUGAUGUGGACUUCAAGCCUGCAGAACGGAGAGCCCAUUUCCAUUGCUUAAAGCCACCUCGUGUGUGGUUAGAGCACAGCAGACUGAGCCACCCAGAACUGGCCCCUCCGGUGGACCAGCCCCUGCGGAUUCACAGACCACUGGUCCUGGAAGGGACCUUGUCAAGCAGGCCCAUAAGGUAAUCCCUCCCCGGAAAGAGAAGAUCACAGAUUUUGUCAUAUUAAAUACAUUGUAGAAAUUCAUGGUAGCAGGGGCAAGAUCAUUUAAACAAAACAGAAAGUUUCAGAGAGAGAAAAAGCCAAGGACAAAGAUUAAUCAUUUUUCUGCUUAAAAAAAAUGGCUUUGAUUUGCAACCAUGGAAUGCUCCACUGUUUCUCUUCUCUUCAAAGACAUCUACUGAAAGGAUUCCUUAACCUUACCAAGUGGCCAAAAUACUUUUCUGAGAAGAGUCACAGAGCAUAGGCCCCCCUAGGGUACACAGAGAUUUCAUUAGUCCCUAGAUGUUUCCUGAUCCUUUUAAAAACUGGUUAAAUUCAGAGACUCUAGGCAAUUACUUCUUUCAGAACCUGUGAGGCAAAAACGAAAGAAGAAGGCAGGACACGCAGUGUAACAAACCUUGGAAUGGACUUCGCCAGACUUCAUCAGAAGAAAGCAGUGCAAGAGGGGACUGCAGAGGAAAGCUGGGGCUUGGGAAACCAGCAGCAGGGGCCACGUGGGCAGGUGGUUUCUGUGUGAACCUCUGAUCUGUGCAACAUAAACAGGAAAUGUUGAAGGCUUCCAGUGCUCUUUUUUGAUGUCGAGAACAUUCUACGGCACAAAAGAGUUUGCCUCUCACUGUUUCUCAUAUAUGGAGGUUUUCUAAUCAGCAUCCUGAACAGAAUUGAAUUAAAAAUAAAAACCAAAGUAAAACUAGCUUUAUCUCUAGAUUUUAAAAUUUUCAUUUUUUUUAGGGUGGCACCUAUACUGUUACCUUGUAGGUACCAACUAGAAUAUUCUUUCUAACUGCCUGUCAUUCAUGGUUUACCUACUUGGAAGCUUAACCCUGUCCAAGACUGGACCCUAGUCAACACAAAUUUUAUCUUAAUUUUAUGAAGGUCUUUCCCACCCCUAAUAUUCUGGCAUUCUUAAAUAUGC